Molecule: ribosomal RNA, 500 nt
Filed under: uncultured bacterium
Lineage: Bacteria
Description: bacterial SSU rRNA
Rfam family: Bacterial small subunit ribosomal RNA
Source: RNAcentral
GAUGAACGCUAGCGGCAGGCUUAACACAUGCAAGUCGAGGGGUAUAGUAGCAAUACUAGAGACCGGCGCACGGGUGCGUAACGCGUAUGCAACCUACCUUGAACAGGGGAAUAGCCCAGAGAAAUUUGGAUUAAUGCCCCAUAGCGUAUUGAGUUGGCAUCAACACAAUACUAAAGUCACAACGGUUCAAGAUGGGCAUGCGUCCCAUUAGUUAGUUGGUAAGGUAACGGCUUACCAAGACGAUGAUGGGUAGGGGUCCUGAGAGGGAGAUCCCCCACACUGGUACUGAGACACGGACCAGACUCCUACGGGAGGCAGCAGUGAGGAAUAUUGGUCAAUGGGCGCAAGCCUGAACCAGCCAUGCCGCGUGCAGGAUGAAGCAUCUAUGGUGUGUAAACUGCUUUUGUACGGGAAGAAACACCGGAACGCGUUCCGGCUGACGGUACCGUAAGAAUAAGGAUCGGCUAACUCCGUGCCAGCAGCCGACGGUAAAGUCACCG